Molecule: transfer RNA, 95 nt
Filed under: Planotetraspora thailandica
Lineage: Bacteria; Bacillati; Actinomycetota; Actinomycetes; Streptosporangiales; Streptosporangiaceae
Description: tRNA-Arg
Source: RNAcentral
GGCGGUGAGGAGAUCGGUGCGUGCGUGUCGCCAGGUCUACGCGCGGGCGAUGUCGCGCCAUGGCGCCGCGCGCUGUUCGAGCCAGCGCAUCGCCU